UGGCCGAGAUGGGCGUGUGCUG
This 22-nucleotide non-coding RNA is filed under the name Arabidopsis thaliana (thale cress). The record is from RNAcentral. Lineage: Eukaryota; Viridiplantae; Streptophyta; Magnoliopsida; Brassicales; Brassicaceae.